Molecule: ribosomal RNA, 907 nt
Filed under: uncultured bacterium
Lineage: Bacteria
Description: bacterial SSU rRNA
Rfam family: Bacterial small subunit ribosomal RNA
Source: RNAcentral
AGAGUUUGAUCCUGGCUCAGAACGAACGCUGGCGGCGUGCUUAACACAUGCAAGUCGAGUGCGCGUACCGUAGCAAUACGGUAUGGCGCACGGCGCACGGGUGCGUAACACGUGGGCAAUCUGCCCUUCGAUGGGGAAUAACUCCGGGAAACCGGAGCUAAUUCCGCAUAACAUUCCUUGGACUUCGGUUCGAGGACUCAAAGCCGUAAGGCGUCGAAGGAGGAGCCCGCGCCCGAUUAGCUAGUUGGUAGGGUAACGGCCUACCAAGGCUUUGAUCGGUAGCUGGUCUGAGAGGAUGGCCAGCCACACUGGAACUGAGACACGGUCCAGACUCCUACGGGAGGCAGCAGUGGGGAAUCUUGCGCAAUGGGCGAAAGCCUGACGCAGCGACGCCGCGUGGGGGAUGAAGCAUUUCGGUGUGUAAACCCCUUUCGACUGGGACGAAUGCCUCGCAAGAGGAGUGACGGUACCAGUAGAAGAAGCCCCGGCUAACUACGUGCCAGCAGCCGCGGUAAGACGUAGGGGGCCAGCGUUGUUCGGAAUUACUGGGUGUAAAGGGUUCGUAGGCGGUGUGGCAAGUCGGGAGUGGAAUCUAUGGGCUUAACCCAUAGGCUGCUUCCGAAACUGCUGUGCUUGAGUGUGGGAGAGGCGCGUGGAAUUGCAGGUGUAGCGGUGAAAUGCGUAGAUAUCUGCAGGAACACCCGUGGCGAAAGCGGCGCGCUGGACCACAACUGACGCUGAGGAACGAAAGCUAGGGGAGCAAACAGGAUUAGAUACCCUGGUAGUCCUAGCCCUAAACGAUCAGGACUUGGGGUGCCGCACGUUCGUGCGUCGUCCCGGAGCUAACGCGUUAAGUCCUGCACCUGGGGAGUACGGUCGCAAGACUGAAACUCAAAGGAAUUGACGG